UACGGAGGAUCCAAGCGUUAUCCGGAUUUAUUGGGUUUAAAGGGUGCGUAGGUGGCUUAUUAAGUCAGUGGUGAAAGGUGUCCGCUUAACGGACGACGUGCCAUUGAUACUGAUGAGCUUGAGUACAGAUGAGGUGGGCGGAAUGAGUCAAGUAGCGGUGAAAUGCAUAGAUAUGACUCAGAACACCAAUUGCGAAGGCAGCUCACUAAGUUGUAACUGACACUGAGGCACGAAAGUGUGGGGAUCAAACAGG
This 253-nucleotide ribosomal RNA is filed under the name uncultured bacterium. RNAcentral's name for it is "partial 16S ribosomal RNA". It matches the Rfam family "Bacterial small subunit ribosomal RNA", at positions 524 to 776 of the family's 1533-position model. The record is from RNAcentral.